UUGCAACUACCACUCUCCUCAUUCAUCUCUCUCCUCUACCAAAAAACCCACUACCACUUUGUUCAGAUCAAAAAACCCAGAUCUAUCUCGUUUGCGAUAUGGGGUGGUUUUGCGGUGCACUUAGGGUUCGUUUGAGGUUCAGAUCUAAACUUUGGUGAUGACGGUGGAUGAAGGUACCACUGAGUUUCAAACCUCAUGAAGACGGAUCCUCUUUAAUUUAAUUUGAAGAAAAUUGCACAUGAAGAAGAUGAUGAAUGAGAUCUCGAAGAGAUGCUGAAGGUUUUUGUUUGAACUAGUCAAAGAUCGAGUGAAAUUACACAUCUUUUUUACGUUUUUGAGGAGACUGAAGGUUUUUGUUCGAAAUUUUUGUUCAAGAAGGUGAACAAGUAUGUUUAUUUUUCAGCUUUGUUUGCAAAUCUACACUUUUUUAGUCUGCAUUUUUGUUGUGUUUUGUGGAUCUGCAAUUUUUCUUUGUUGUUCAAGAAGAUGAAGGGUUUUAAGUUUUUAUCAGUACCGAUCAAACAAUUUGUUUUAAGUUUUUGUUCAUUGUAUUAA
RNAcentral lists this long non-coding RNA (555 nucleotides) under Helianthus annuus (common sunflower). Its description in RNAcentral is "hypothetical non coding rna". Lineage: Eukaryota; Viridiplantae; Streptophyta; Magnoliopsida; Asterales; Asteraceae. The record is from RNAcentral.